This is a long non-coding RNA of Mercenaria mercenaria, 3296 nucleotides long. RefSeq lists it as uncharacterized. Lineage: Eukaryota; Metazoa; Mollusca; Bivalvia; Venerida; Veneridae. The transcript is spliced from 4 exons. The record is from RefSeq and is a predicted model, not a curated record.
AAACUAAAUCCAACAUGAGAUAUUUAGUAUGGAAUGAAUAGAGAUACACAAGAUAACACACAGAAAAAAAGUCCUCAAAAAUAUCACUACAGGAUACUGAAAUAUCACAUCAUAUUUAUUGGGGGAAAAAGUAUUUUCCAAUGUCCGUUAUCAUGCACUGUGCGCUAUUUUUUCUCUACUUCCGGAAAGAAGUAAACAUCGCAUUUCGCUGUCAAAUUGUUUGGAACACACUCUGUUCGAAGAAUACUGGUUAUUGUCAAGUGAAUCGUGUAUGUGCUGAGGAGAAUUGUGUUAUUUGCGAUAUGAAAGACGAACGUAAAAUAGCAACAUUGGGUGAAAAAAAAUGUAGAUAGUUAAUUUCUGCAGCCAGGAAUAAAGGAGAACAAAUGUAUGUUAGACCUGAGAAAAUUGUGUGCUAUGAGUGUAGAAAAAUUACUGCCACCCGAAUCUACUUGGAGAUGCAAACGGUACCUCUAUAACGUAGCGAAACGGACACAUUCAUCUGACUUCUUUUCAUUUCAAAUGCCUGUUCUGUGGAACAGAUGCCAAACAAAAUGACAAAAAGGCAUAUGAUAAUUUCCAAAUUUCAGUCAACAAUAAAGAAAAAUUGGAAGCGAAGUCUUCUGUUGACUCUAAUCCGUACAUGAUCUAACAGCAGCUGCUGCAAGAUAUCAUCAAAAAUGUAGCACACAUUUCAGAACAGGAUGUCAAGUUCCGACUAUACAUCAAACACCUCAAAAUACAGUAAAACGUAGUAAAGGUAGACCAACAAAAGAAUCAUCUCAAGAGGCAUUUUUGAAAACCAUGCAUUAUUUUGAAAACACUGAAAGUGAACAAAUAGCUUAAAUUAUUGAAUGAUCCCAGGCAGAGUCUUUGUAAUAAACACUCUUAACGUGAUGACAUUGAAACAGCUGGUAGUAUAUCAUUCAAAAUUAUGUUUGUACAAAGGUAAAACAAAUGACACAUUGAGGUACAGAAAAUUCAUUACGAAGGCAACAAGCACAUCGGUAGUAAAGAUACAGACCCUAACUCCUACAGAGGCAACUGCAAAGUUUCAGAAUUUUAGAGUGCACUGCCAUUAAAAUAGAGACAUGGAUUGGAAAGGAAACGAACCCUUUUGACUUGGGAUGGUACAAACGUGGUGAUAAACUUGUUCCUUGGCACAGAGGUUGCUCUACUGGGAUGGCUGUAAAUGUCAUGACAUAAACACUUAACUGACUUUCAUAAUCUUGAGAGCAAUGAAAAGUUUUUCGAACAUACUAACUUUAUAAUUGAGCAUAUUUUUACAGUAUAUCGCAUCACAGAGUUUUGUUCUCACAUGUUUGUACAUUACGGCUUUGUGUACAUUUGCCGUUACAUUUGCUGUUAGCUGAAAAUUGUAGUUUAGUAUCGAUUUAAAUUUACUGUAGUAACCUGUUCUAUAUAUACUAUAGUACAGUCACUGUUGAUCUGGGAUUCUUUUCCUGAAUGUUUCUUAAUAUACUGUUGUUAUUAUAACAUUUAUUACAUUUAGUGCGAGUUUCAAGGAAAUAGUUUAAAGAUAUUGCAUGCACGUUUUAUUGAUGGGUGGACCCGCCCGCUUAGCGCAUUGGGAAGAGCACCGAUCUACGGAUCGCGGGAUCGUGAGUUGGAUCCUUGGGCGGGCCGUAUGUUCUCCAUGACGACUUGAUAAAAGACAUUGUGUCUGAAAUCAUUCAUCCUCCACCUUUGAUUCAUGUGGGGAAGUUGGUAGUUACUUGCGGAUAACAGGUUUGUACAGGUACAGAAUCCAGGAACACUGGUUAAGUUAACUGCCUGCCGAUACAUAACUGAAAUACUGUUUAAAAACGGCGUUAAAUCCAACACAAAUAAAAUUGAUGGGUGGGGUAAAUCUAUAGUGUAAAUGAAUUUAUUAGUAAAUGUCACAACAAAGCUUAGUAUCGGCUUUAAUUUAUGUGAUAUUUUAUAUAAUCAAUGCCUCUGAUCGAAGAAAUAAACCAACGUAUAGGUUUAAACUAAUGUAUGUUACCUAAUGAAUGAACUUCUUUAUUCGUCUGAAUCAUUGAAUUGCAAAGAGGGUGCCCUUCAUAAUCUAUUUUUUUAAGAUUUUCCAAUGGGAAUUUUUUUGAGGACUUUUUUUCUAAAAUGCUCUAAUGUUUAAAGAUUAUAAAACAAGAAAAACAUUUCAUGUUGGAAUUUGUUUAACCUUUUGACAUAAUAUGUGGUAAUAUGACCGGCCUAAGUGGAUUUCUAUGCAUUUUAAUUACUCCUGUUAAAACUGUUUACCUUAAAGUACUAGAAAUGUUACAUGUGACUGCAUCGACCGAAAAUCUGUUCAUUAAUUCGAAAUGUUGUAAGGUUUUCCAGCAAUACCCCUAGGGAAACAUCUCAUUGAGAGACAACAGCUAAACUAUUUAAACAAGAAAUAGCUUUAUAAAAAAUAGUUGACUAAUUGAUAUCAGUCCAUAAAUACUACUUCAAUAAAAGACUAUAAUACUGAUCAAACAUUUACCUAUAAAACAAUUACUUUCAUCAAUGAGCACGUUUUUAAAAUUACCCCCGAGAUGUAACAAAUCAAUUAAAUAAAUGGAUGUGAAAGUACAGACGUGCAAUAACACCAUCCUUUUUACUUAAUGGCUGUGAAAGCUUAUUAAUAAUUCUACAGUCUUGCAAUAACACCAUUUUAAUUUGAUUUUGCUUUGAUCAGACAACUAAUUAUUCAAUUAUCGCGCAGCAUGUUUGCACGCAUGAAGCAAUACCAUGACAUUCACAUAUAUCUUGUAUAGAUAUUAAACAUUACCAGUUACUCCAGACAUAAUUAAUCAGUAAGGACAUAUAUUUGGAAUUAUUUACAAACAGAAGUCAGUAAAGUAAUUUCUGAUCAAAGAAACAGUCGGAUAUUCAGAGCAGUUUUUAGCACAAAUUAAAUUACAUUUUCUGCACUUGCGUUAUAAGACUAUCUGCUUUUGAAAUACAUGCAGUUUAUUUUUUGAACAUGGAAAAAGAAGGAGAGCUACAUAACCGAAGUAUGUCAGGGGUUUUAAGAUCCUUAGCAGAAUCAAGUUCCUGGCAUGGCGUACCAAAGAUUGCUUCUUCACCACAGCGGACAGUUAAAUGUCUUUGGUGCCUUUUGAUGCUAGGGGCUUUCGGAUUUAUGUUGUGGCAACUGUCGGAACUAUUCGUAACAUUUCGGUCACAUCCUGUUCAGACCGCCGUCUCUCUAGAAUUCAGUUCCCAUAGAUUCCCAGCCGUGACCUUCUGUAACCUCAACCCAGUUAGGUCCUCACAAAUUGACUUGUCACCAGAACUGAAAAAUG